GACGAACGCUGGCGGCGUGCCUAAUACAUGCAAGUUGAGCGCUGAAGGUUGGUCCUUGUACCAACUGGAUGAGCAGCGAACGGGUGAGUAACGCGUGGGGAAUCUGCCUUUGAGCGGGGGACAACAUUUGGAAACGAAUGCUAAUACCGCAUAAAAACUUUAAACACAAGUUUUAAGUUUGAAAGAUGCAAUUGCAUCACUCAAAGAUGAUCCCGCGUUGUAUUAGCUAGUUGGUGAGGUAAAGGCUCACCAAGGCGAUGAUACAUAGCCGACCUGAGAGGGUGAUCGGCCAAAUUGGGACUGAGAAACGGCCCAAACUUCUACGGGAGGGAGCAGUAGGGAAUCUUCGGCAAUGGACGAAAGUCUGACCGAGCAACGCCGCGUGAGUGAAGAAGGUUUUCGGAUCGUAAAACUCUGUUGGUAGAGAAGAACGUUGGUGAGAGUGGAAAGCUCAUCAAGUGACGGUAACUACCCAGAAAGGGACGGCUAACUACGUG
This 497-nucleotide ribosomal RNA is filed under the name uncultured bacterium. RNAcentral's name for it is "partial 16S ribosomal RNA". It matches the Rfam family "Bacterial small subunit ribosomal RNA", at positions 28 to 507 of the family's 1533-position model. The record is from RNAcentral.